GUAACAUACCACCUCGCACUGGGAUCCGGAGGGACUCCUGCCGUAAAACCCCCCAAUUUCCAAAGGUUGACCUCGGAUCAGGUAGGAAUACCCGCUGAACUUAAGCAUAUCAAUAAGC
RNAcentral lists this ribosomal RNA (118 nucleotides) under Colletotrichum magnum. Its description in RNAcentral is "partial 28S ribosomal RNA". The record is from RNAcentral. Lineage: Eukaryota; Fungi; Ascomycota; Sordariomycetes; Glomerellales; Glomerellaceae.